AGGGUUGUGAUGUAACUGGGGCCGGUUUCGAGGCGUGGUGGGCGGUAAUAUUAGUAAAAAUAAUACUAUCCCCGACUACGCCUCGGAAUUGGUUUUGGUGUUUUCACACAAAC
Tribolium castaneum (red flour beetle) is the source of this 113-nucleotide non-coding RNA. RefSeq annotates it as microRNA mir-3826. Lineage: Eukaryota; Metazoa; Arthropoda; Insecta; Coleoptera; Tenebrionidae. The transcript has a single exon. The record is from RefSeq and is marked provisional.